UAGGGAAUCUUCCGCAAUGGACGAAAGUCUGACGGAGCAACGCCGCGUGAGUGAAGAAGGAUUUCGGUUCGUAAAACUCUGUUGUUAGGGAAGAAAAAAUGUAUAGUAACUAUAUACAAAAGAGACGGUACCUAACCAGAAAGCCACGGCUAACUACGUGCCAGCAGCCGCGGUAAUACGUAGGUGGCAAGCGUUGUCCGGAAUUAUUGGGCGUAAAGCGCGCGCAGGUGGUUUAGAAAGUCUGAUGUGAAAGCCCACGGCUCAACCGUGGAGGGUCAUUGGAAACUAAUAAACUUGAGUGCAGGAGGGAAAAGUGGAAUUCCUAGUGUGGCGGUUAAAUGCGUAGAGAUUAGGAGGAACACCGGUGGCGAAAGCGGCUUUUUGGCCUGCAACUGACACUGAGGCGCGAAAGCGUGGGGAGCAAACAGG
This 429-nucleotide ribosomal RNA is filed under the name Verrucomicrobiota bacterium. RNAcentral's name for it is "Verrucomicrobia bacterium partial 16S ribosomal RNA". It matches the Rfam family "Bacterial small subunit ribosomal RNA", at positions 355 to 776 of the family's 1533-position model. Lineage: Bacteria; Pseudomonadati; Verrucomicrobiota. The record is from RNAcentral.